CGGGAAUAUUGGACAAUGGGCGCAAGCCUGAUCCAGCAAUACCGCGUGUGUGAAGAAGGCCUGCGGGUUGUAAAGCACUUUCAGUUGGGAAGAUAAUGACGUUACCAACAGAAGAAGCACCGGCUAACUCCGUGCCAGCAGCCGCGGUAAUACGGAGGGUGCAAGCGUUAAUCGGAAUUACUGGGCGUAAAGCGUGCGUAGGCGGUUACUUAAGUCAGAUGUGAAAUCCCCGGGCUCAACCUGGGAACUGCAUCUGAUACUGGGUGACUAGAGUGUGGGAGAGGAGAGUGGAAUUUCCGGUGUAGCGGUGAAAUGCAUAGAGAUCGGAAGGAACAUCAGUGGCGAAGGCGACUCUCUGGACCAACACUGACGCUGAGGCACGAAAGCGUGGGUAGCAAAC
RNAcentral lists this ribosomal RNA (400 nucleotides) under uncultured bacterium. RNAcentral describes it as "bacterial SSU rRNA". It matches the Rfam family "Bacterial small subunit ribosomal RNA", at positions 356 to 773 of the family's 1533-position model. The record is from RNAcentral.